Molecule: RNA transcript, 1225 nt
Organism: Eurytemora carolleeae
Lineage: Eukaryota; Metazoa; Arthropoda; Copepoda; Calanoida; Temoridae
Exons: 7
Source: RefSeq, a predicted model, not a curated record
AUAGAACUUGGUAACAAAGUUCUAAAUGUGUAGGUUUUGAAAGAAAAUCGCAUGCCCUAUGAAUCAGGAAGGGAUGGGGUAGACUGGAUAGUCAAUCAUACUGAAGUACUUUUAAGGACCUACAAAGAUUUCUGGAUAGAGUUAGCAAACGGGAGAACUCCAGCAGAUGAGCAUUUGAAUGGGUUAAAGUUGGACAUAGUGGAUGACAGAGUGGUUGAGGAGAAAUGGAUUCGUUUAACCACCCCUCAGUUCAGGAUGGAAAAAAAGGGAACUGUUAAAUUUGAAUUCAAGGAUAUAGAGAAUGGAUGGUGGAAAAGAGGGAUUCUUUUCGAUUUUAUGGAACUCAAGAAAAUACGAGAUUUGUCAAUCUGAAGUAUCGUUUGAUUCUGGGCUAAUAUAUAAAUUUUUGGUAAAAAAAUGUCAAAAACCAGACUGUUAGCUUUCCACCUCAAGUUUCUUUUGUUUAUCAAUCAAUGCUUCGUUUGUAAUUUUUUCGGUCAAACAUUUUAUUAAAUUAAUAAAAAUUCCGUCUGUAAAUAUUUUGAUCCGAAUUGAUGGUUGAAACAGUUUGGAAAUGUAUUAAUCAUGUAAUGAUGUAACAAAGGAUUAAAAACGAUGAAUUGAAUUGAGAUUUAUUAAAUUUAUAUUAUUUUUAACCUGUUUAAUUUAAACCAUAUUAACACUUUUAUUUUGGUUCGUUGUUAAAAAACAUCAAAUAUAAUUUUAUUAAAUGUUUGUAUUCUUGUUUUGAUGUGAUGGUUAUUUCUAGAUAUAAUAAGCUUUUUAAUGAUAUAAAUUUUUUAAAUAACAGGCUAUUUUAUUUGUAUUUAAAUUGAAAAAACAAUUUUUAGAAAAAUUCCAAUUAUUUUUGAGGAAAUCCGGGAACCUUAUGAAGUUCGAUAGCAUCGUUUAUUAUUAUAUAUGCUGAUAUAACAUUAUAUAGCACAAUUUUUCUUUAUACCAAGUCUUAAUUUACUAUAAAGGGACCAUUUUAGAAUAUUCUUUGAUCUCCAAUAAUGUUAUUGUAAUUAUAAAACUUUUCCCAACCAGCUCGUUCAUUGAUAACCAGAUAACUGUAGAAUAAGAAGACGACAUUAAAUCAUUUGAUAUUGUUAAGCAAAUAGCUUUACUAUCAAGUUAUUAAAUGACUAAUAAGUGAAAUGGAAUCUGUUUUCACUGCACAAUUGCUGAGCCUCAUGUUCAUUGAACUAUUUAAAGUAAAAUA